GAUGAACGCUGGCGGCGUGCCUAAUACAUGCAAGUCGAGCGAACGGACGAGAAGCUUGCUUCUCUGAUGUUAGCGGCGGACGGGUGAGUAACACGUGGAUAACCUACCUAUAAGACUGGGAUAACUUCGGGAAACCGGAGCUAAUACCGGAUAAUAUUUUGAACCGCAUGGUUCAAAAGUGAAAGACGGUCUUGCUGUCACUUAUAGAUGGAUCCGCGCUGCAUUAGCUAGUUUGUAAGGUAACGGCUUACCAAGGCAACGAUGCAUAGCCGACCUGAGAGGGUGAUCGGCCACACUGGAACUGAGACACGGUCCAGACUCCUACGGGAGGCAGCAGUAGGGAAUCUUCCGCAAUGGGCGAAAGCCUGACGGAGCAACGCCGCGUGAGUGAUGAAGGUCUUCGGAUCGUAAAACUCUGUUAUUAGGGAAGAACAUAUGUGUAAGUAACUGUGCACAUCUUGACGGUACCUAAUCAGAAAGCCACGGCUAACUACGUG
RNAcentral lists this ribosomal RNA (497 nucleotides) under uncultured bacterium. RNAcentral's name for it is "partial 16S ribosomal RNA". It matches the Rfam family "Bacterial small subunit ribosomal RNA", at positions 28 to 507 of the family's 1533-position model. The record is from RNAcentral.